This 12266-nucleotide long non-coding RNA is filed under the name Solanum tuberosum (potato). Its description in RNAcentral is "long non-coding RNA (STUB_LNC002304)". Lineage: Eukaryota; Viridiplantae; Streptophyta; Magnoliopsida; Solanales; Solanaceae. The record is from RNAcentral.
UGAAUAGUUGCUUCUCAUUCCUCAUUCGGGAAACAAUGAAUUGUACUGAAUCAGCACCUAGAACGAACUUUAGUCAUUUAAAUUAUCAGUAUAGAUAUGUUUUAUUGUAGAGCACAACCUGAUAUCUACUCCUGUGACACUUGACUUUUUAGUAUAACUUCUGCUCAGGGAACUGCUGGACAUAAACAUUUUGUUGACAUAAUGAAUCUGUUAGUCAUGGAAUCAGGUGCUCAGACUCUCAAAUUUGUGAUCUUUUUAUAUGAUCCUGGGCAAUCCUUCCCUUAUGAGCUAGCUUUUGGGGUUGAGUUAGGCCCAUGGUCCAUUUCUUCACAUGGUAUUAGUGUUAGAUCCAUCGAUCCAUGUUAUUAUGUUUCUCUUUCUCAAUAUUGAUCCCCCGUGUUAUGUUUUCUAGUCCUGGGCACGCCCCUGCGUGGGGUGGGUGGGUGUCUCCUUAUAUGAUUUUGGGUAAUCCUUCCCUUAUGAGCUAACUUUUGUGGUUGAGUUACGUUCAACGUUCAUUUCUUCACGGUAUAUAUGCAAACACACACUAUUCAUUGGUUGAUAAUGUAGUUUGCAAGAACAUAGUACUUUAUUGAGGUUAUACAAGCGAAAGUGUACAACUCGGAUUAAAAUUGCAGGUUUGCAGUGAAAUAAUUGAAAUCUCCCUGCCUUCCUCUCCUUUGUCUUUACUUAUCUUUUUAUUUAUUUAUGACCUCAUAUCCUUUUUCUUUGAUUUGACAGGCUUGAUGCAAUUGUAACGGCUGAUGCUUUUAGAACUUUGAAGCCUGCUCCUGAUAUUUUCUUGGCUGAAUCACGGAUUCUUGAUGUUUCCCACUAGUGAGGUAGUUUCCAGGGUGUGCAAUGCUGCUUUGCUACCACCCAUCUCAUUUUUUUCUUUUUAGACACUUAGCUGUGGGUAGUAUGUGAUGCUAAUCUGAUGAGAAACUUAUAGUUAACUAAGAUAUCACUGAGGUUCACAUUCACAUUAUGUUUAAGUGAGAGUUCCCUACAUCAUUAUUCAUAAAUGACUGUAAUAAUCAGAUGAAGCUAGCUGGAAAAGAAAUUUAAGCAAAGAAGAAACUAAAAACUUGAUAAAUAUGUUAGAAACUUUUAUUUUGUAAAUUAUAUUUCUGGACAGAAAAGAGAUGCUCAGUCGUCAUUCUGUCAGUCAGAACAGUUUUUCUAAAUAUGGAUAUAAAAUAAUGGGGGGUGCAUUAUGAAUUGCUGAAGGUUCAUUGUUCGAGGAUGAUGAAGUUUUGAAGUGUUAAGUAGAUCAGUGUUGUGUUUGUCAACCUUGGUAGACAUUAUCAUAAUCCUCGAUGUUGACAGUGUAUUGUGAUUGAAGAUGCAUUAGCUGGAGUACAAGCUUCCAAAGCUGCAGAAAUGAGUUUUUUUUUAAACUGAAAAAAAAAAACUCAAUUCUGCAGCUUUAGGAGUUUGUACUCCAGCUAAGUUGUUGGUAUCGCCAACCCUACUUGAACUUCCUUCGUUUGUUGCAUCUGCUAACUGAAUCAGCAUCAUUCUAAUGUACCUCUUUGCUUCUGGUUUUAGUGAUCAAUUUUUUCUUUGAUGAAGUGUUUCAUAAAUCACAAAGGCAUCAAGGAGAUGCAUAGUUACAAAAGAGGAGGAGAUGCCAGUUCAUACAAAAAUAACAAAAACAUAAGUCUAAAGAGCUGACAAAUCCAAAGGUUUAUCACAAGACUAAAGAGUUGAUAAAAUCCAAAUAAGAAUCUGGGUUAUAUGGGUAAGAUCAAUCCAGCUAAAAAAGAAUCUGGUUUAGUGAUCAAUUUGAUUCCAUUUUUUCUACAUUCUUAAGUAUGUUGACUUACUUGCAGAUAGCUGUGACAACAACACUAUCAGAAGAUACUUUAAAAGCAGCGGAGCCAUCCCUCAUCAGAAAGGAGAUAAGCGAUAUUUCACUUGAAGAUAUCCUCGAUGGUGACUCUGGUAGCCAUAGUAUGUAGUUAAAUUAACAUGUUAAGAGCUGCCCAUUUUCAUGUACCAUUGACAAAUGUAGAAUGCUGAAGCUCUUUUGUGUUAUUUAUGGAAAAACUUGCGAAUAAGCUCAUUUUUGUAAUGACUCUAUAAUUUGUUGAAGGAUAUCCUGUUCACUGCUCCCCUAAGCUGUAUGCUUUAGCUGCUAACUAUUGUCUUUUUCCUAGUUGAUGGAAAGCUGCUGGUUCUAGUGUUCCUCUAGCAUAUCAUCUGUAGUUAAUAGUGGCUCCCUUUUUUAUGCUUACUAGAAAUGAAUCUAUUGAUGACAAACAAUGCAGAUGUGAUGGUGCAGGAAUCUCAAUCCAUUAAUGAUCUAGCUCUCUCUUCCCCUGAAUCCAAUAUGACAGGGAGAAUCACAGAGCUAGAUAAUUAUCCAAUAAGUGAAGCCUGUACUAAUUAACUCAUUUGGAUCCACUUUUUUCAACUUCUCAGCACACUUUACAGAUUCCCUAAUUGAUGAUGUUUGUUUGCAGAGCAUGCUAGGUCGGAAAAUGCUUGAAUUCAAACUGAGAAGUCUGGUGCUUUCGAUGCUGAAGAAACUAUUAGCUCACACUCAACCUUGACCAAAGCUUCAAACUCUGUGAGAAGUUUUUUGAUAUCUGUGUUAAAGCUUCUAUGCUGGAUAAAUAUUAAGCUUCUUUAUCUUGCCCUGUUUAUUCUAUUACCUUAAAAACUAUUUGCAGUGUGGGCCAGCCAUGGGGAUGAUAUAAGCAUCCAGUAUUCUGGUACUCCAGCUUUAAAGGGAAAUUUUGUCAGGUAACAACUUUCUUGUUCUGCUAAAAGAAGAUGGUAUCAUAUGAAGGCAGCAUUAGUGCAAAGCAUAUUUUUGGGGAGUGCAAUAAUAUAAAUACAUAUGUAGUAGGAUUCAAACCCUGACCAAAGUUCCUAAAUCAACGAACAUUAUAUAACCCAUCAUUGACAUUGGUACUAAUUUUUGGCCAAUUAAAUUCAUAUCAAGAGUAAGCAUCUGGGAUUGGAUCUUUAAAUGCCAACUGCACAAAUUUAUCUCAAGAUCAUGAUGGACAUAGCAUACAACUAAAAAAGUUAUAGUCAACAAGUUGAUUUUAUGACCUCAAGCCUUUUCUUUUGUCGAUCAAUAUCACUAUAAAAUCUACAUUGUUGUUUGAUAUGCAGAUGUGGUCACAGAACAGCCCAGGGGGUUCUUGCUGACGGAUGUAAUGCCCUAACAUGAUACUACUUGAACAAUUUUGUUGAUGGUACUAAACAGGUAAUGAUGCUUCUUACCAGCAAUUAGUUGUUAGGUUUGUACGUCAUGUCAAGUAGGUAACAUUCAUUAUGUGCUGUCACCAGCAACUUGGUUUCAUACUAAUCCGCCAUUUGAAAUUUUGGAAAGCAUUCUUUAAAUGGUACUUAGCUUCAUGUAUGCACGCCAUCUGCAAACUAUUAACUGAACCUAGUAGUAUUAUUUCCAGUGUGCUGCCAUUUUAUUGGAUUAGUUUCUUGUUGACUACUAGGAGAUACUCCCUCAGUUUCAAUUUGUUUGUUUGAUUUUGACUUGACACGGAGUUCAAGAAAAUAAAGAAAGUGUUAAAUUAGGUCUUAGGCCUAACUCACACCCCAAAAGCUAGCUCUUGAGGGGAGGUUUGUCCAAGUCCAUAUAAGGAGACCAAAUUCCCAUCCCUCUACCGAUGUGGGACAUCUUAACAGAGAAUUUUGAAUCUUGUGUUCCUUUCAAGAAAAGGAAAAAAUCAUUCUUUCUAAAACGGACUAAAAGGGAAAGUAAUACAAACAAAUUGUAACAGGGGAGUACUUUAAUGUUUUCCGAGGAAAGAAAGGACUUUGAACUGACACACAUAAUUUCUGCAUUAUUUUGUUCUUAAUUACAUAACAUCUGUUUGCACUACUAAUUGCUAAGGAUGUCACAGAGUGUACUGAUGAAACAUCCAUAUAUAUAUAUAUUACUUGUAUAAACCUAGCUUCAUAAUGCAUACAUGUGUUGCAAGUAUCAGAGUUUACAAUUCUUGUGUUGUUAUGUUCUGUAUUUUGCAUAUCCCACUUAAAUUGAUUCGCAAAGGCGAUGAUUUGGUAAUCAACUUUGUGUUUCAGUGUCUGUAGCAUUUUAAUUAUGAUGGAGAAGGGAGACCCUUCACAGAAAUUAUAUACAAGGAUGCGGCCUUUGGGAAUUUCCAGAUCAGUAUGUUGUUGAGCCUACUGAUGGAUCCUGUGGUUUGUGCUUGGAGAUCAGUUUGCGUGAAUGUGUCUGUGAAACUAAUUGGUUGCUUCUUUUACUCUUUAUAAAUUUCUUCCGGACUUAAAUUAUUUAUUAAGCUAAUGAUAUGUACUUGUUUGCUAUGUUAGAUGAGGUUCCAGAACGCAGUUCGGUUCGUGUUCCCAAAAUUCAGAAAAUAUUUGGUGUUAUGGGCAUACUAAAGCUUUUGGCUGGUAAGAACUUUUAGGAAGAACUAAAAGAUCAGGAAUUUGUUUUUUAUAUUUCAAUAGCAGGUCAGCUCUCUGACAUACAUCAAUAAAUCUUUACAUUAUCAGGAAAAAAUGUCUAUUAUAUUUGCCAAGAAUGUACCCUUUGUGUUGCUCAUUCUCUUGAAGAAUUUUGUUCCAUAAAAUUAUCACACACAUAUACAAAGUAUAUACCAAUGUCUUGGUCUUGUUCAAUUAUGCGUUUGACGGGUAUCUUACAUCUUAGGUAUUGAGCUAAACCAGGACUAUGAAAUUUACGACAAAUUUUAUCAUGACACUGAAAAACAUUUUUUGACUAUUAUCCUUAUCUCAAAAGAAGAUUGAAAAGACAUAACAUGGUAGAAUGUUAAAGGUUGCUCUGAUCUAGUGUGUGCUGCUCUUGCAUUCAGGUUCAUAUGUACUGGUCAUAACGAACCGUGAAUGUGUUGGAUCUUACUUUGGGCACCCAAUCUUCAAAGUUUCAUCGAUGAAAUUUUAUCCUUGCUAUAUCAGUCUCUCAAGAACUCUACUGCUGAAAAGGUAGGUUUCCGAUUUCCUAGUUAAUUUCCUACCCUAUUUUUUUUUUAAUCUCAUGCUGGUGUCUUCUAUUUCUGUUCCUAUGAUAUUGCUUUGGCUUUUGGCAGAAAACAUGGAAGCUCAGUUUGCCGCACUGCUUAAUGUCGUAGAGUGAACUCCUGGUCUGUACUUCUCUUAAUAUGUCAAUAUAACAUUGAGGUGAAUUGUCUUUUCAACCUUCUGACUGCUUGUAUGUUGCCUUUUUUCUUCUUUCCUUGUCUUGGUGUACCAUUAGAAGUUAACUAACAAGCCUAGCUGCUUAUUUCAAUUAAGAACUUCUUAUUAAAAUAAAAUAUUAUCAUUAUAAUACUACUGAAUUGUGAUUUAGCAUUUUGGAGGAUCCUUUUUUCCUUUUUACUCAUUGAAAACCUUUUUGGUAUAGUGGAGGAGAUGGUAUCUCGAGUUUACCAUUAGUAGAAUUUACAUAAAUUUGCGUGAAAAGGGCGUAUCAUCACUUAUUCUUAAACAUAUGAAAUUAACCAGGAACAUGCUGAAGAAUCAGUGAAAUCAUUCACAAACUGUUUUGAUGGAUGUAGUUCUCUGAACUGCACGGCAGAGUAAGUCCACAAAGAGUACACAAAUGGAGCAAAUAUGCUGUAGUCAAUAGUCACUUUCGAUUAGACCUUAUCUAAAAUAGUCACUUAAGAUUCUGUGUGUUUCUGAUAUCUAACUGCUCCAUGCCUUAGUUUUCAUAUCUGAUGACUAGUUGCUGUUUAUGUGAUGAUUAAGGGGACAACAGAUAGCAUAUUGAAACUAUUGAAAAUGAGUACCAAAAACUUGUUCUCCUUGCUCGUCAUCUUUUAGAAGGAUUUUUUCUUCUAUAACAUAAGCUUAUUCACUGUAUCAUAUUUCAAUCAGCAAAGAAGUGUAUCUGAGAGGUAUUGUGAAAAAUAACGAAUUAACAUGGUUCUGCCGAUAGGUCAGAUGACUCCACGGGGAAGAGGAAAUUUUGUGAUCGGUCAUCUCCCGUGGUAACUUUGCACUCUAAUGAUAGGGACAGUCCAGUAGAAAAAAGGAAGUGCAAGAAUGAUAGUCACCUAGUUUCGACAGGUUUGUUAUUCUUCAUUAUCACAAAGACUUACAGUUCUUUAAGCUUCGGAACUUCUCAUUGGAAUGUCACUUUUCAAGAAAAUUUCUUUAAGCCAUCAAUGGACACACUCAUGCUUUAUGUCCUAUAAAGCUGGGGAUGGACCUAAGUUGGUACAAUUGUAGAGACUAAACAUUAUGGAAUUGCUAUUUUUGUGGUCUAACUGUGAAAAGGAAUUGGUAGAUUUCUAAUAAUGUAGUGACAAGAAUAUAUAAUAUAUCUACCAGACUUGUCUAGACAAAAAAAAAAAAGAAGUGCGGGGUGGGUGGGGGUGGAAGAGACUUGUUAUGCAAAGAUACUUCCCACAACAAACUCACACCUCAAAAGCUUACUUGAACUACUCCUGUAUCACUCUUGAUCGUCUCUUUGAUUGGAUAUGAUUUAAAUGCCAAAUAUUUAUUCUAUUUUGGUGUAUAUGACAUGUAUGAAUUCCCUUUGAUGAAGAAAUGUUUUAAGCCAAAAAGAAAACAGGAUAGGAGAUAAAUGAGGGGGAACAGAUGAAAAGUGAGAGAUACAUGGCAUCAAGAUUAAUCUUUGCAGCAAUACAUACUAGAAGUUCUUUUACCUCUUUCAUUAAAAAAAAAAUUACAGAGUAGAAGAUGUUAUUUGCUUCCAUUUAGAAGUCAUCAAUUAACCUUAAAAGACAUGUAUCUAUCCUGGCAUGUCCCAUUCAGAUGUGUGCUAUUUGUUUGGAUCUAAGUUACCCUUCAUGCAAUUACUUGAAGUCUUGAAUUGAUACUAGUCCUUGCAAUGUCUUAAAGUUACUAUCUGUCCAACUUAACCUCAAAUUUGAGUUUGUUACCUCAGGCACUGUCAUAUUUUCUUAGGUCAGGACUCAAAUUGAUCAUAAAUUUUUCUUUCAGUAGGGCCAGAGACACCAGAGCAAAAAUCUCAGAGUUCAUCAACCAACAGGUAUCUGAGGAAACACCUCGGUGCUCCAAUAAGAGGAAGGAGUUCAUAUCAGAUGUAUUUCAAGUUGGAAUGUGAAAGACUAAAGAAAAUACUUGGGGAGAGUUCUGGUUCUAAGAAAAUCAGUGAUAUGGCCAUUAAUGCCUGGAAGACUGACUGAAAAUGACAAAGAGGUACGAUGAAGUACUUGUCAUAUUGUUGCUAGCAGAUUUAAAAUGAUAUGAUUCACCUCCUAUGUUUCUUUAAACAUAAUUUACACUGCUCCAUGUAACAAGUGGGAAGUAAAACUUUUUUCCUUGUUCAUCAUUUCCUUCCAACUUUUGCAGCCUUAUAUUGAAGCAAGUAAGCUGGAUAAGGAAAGAUAUAUCCGAGAACGGCUGCUUAUGAACAGCAUAAGAACAAAGAAACUACAACAAAUCCAAACUUGCACAGGGGUUUGGUCCCGAGUAUGAUCAAUUUUGGUGCACCAUCAGUAAUUGAUCAUGUGACUUCGCAAGCUGACACUGGAAGCAACAUUAUCCCUGAUGCAGCCUUUAUCGAGUCCACUGUACAAAUACCGAAUAAUGGUAAGACAAGUAACCCCAUAUUUCAGUUGCUACCUUGGUGGGUUUAGGAAGAUAUGUAUAGGUUUCUAUCUGUAAGUAUCUUACAACCUUAGCAUGAUGUUUUGGAGAUGUAUAUAGCUUCUAGUCUUUGAAAACUAGCGUGUCAAGAAGCAGCAUUUGUAGGUUAUUGUUGUCCUUGUCGUAUUAUUGUGAUUCUUUUAAUUUUUGAUAUCUAUCACCGUCUGUUAUUUAUUGUGUUUUAAUUAUCGGAUUGUUUUGUUGUUUUUGUUUCUAUCUCGUAAGCUUUGUACUACUUCCCUUUAGUUAUCGUGUUUUUUUAGGAAGAAGUCAAUUUUAUUGCUUAGAAAUAGUGUUUCAAGGAAAAAAAGAUGCAAAAUUUCUUUAAGACGAAACAUAAGAUUGUCUGCUGUAAAAUGUCUUCUAACAAACAAACAAAAAAGAGACGUUUGAAUUUUCAAAAAACAUUACCAUGACUUUUUAAAACAUAAUGUUCACUCUAAUAUUGACGUUUAAAUUUAUUUUUAUAAUUGAAAAUUCUAAAAAGAAGUGUACAAGAUAAGUGAGCAUAUUAACUAGAUUGCUUCAAGUAUUCAAGAGUGUGACUUAGUAAUUAAUGAACUGACUUGAGAACAAUGAAAUUUUAGCUAAAUUUCUUCUUAUUUGUCAAAGCUUUAUGUAUUUAUGUAUAAUAGAAUUUUAUUUUUUUUAAAAGCCCCAAGAUUUUCCGUCACAUAAAAAAAAAGACAAAUAAAUUCUAAUUAUCCGCUUAUUUCCAAAGCGGAUAAAAGGGUAAAAUAGUACAAUCACAUGGAACUCAACGGCAUCCCCUUCCCCGCCACCCAAUAACAAUUAUAUAAAGGCUUUUUCAGUAGAAGCAAAGGCCAAAAGAAUUGAGAGAAAAAAUGGCGUUAAGGCUUACCCCCUCUCUACUGCCCACUUAUAAUCAUGGAAAACCCAAACUAGCUACACUUUUCAAUUCAAGAUCCAAAUUAUCCUUUCAAUUUCUUUCAAAACCCUUCAGAAUCUUGGAGUUUGAAUCAAGAAAAACGGGUUUAAAGGUGAGUGCUUCCCAAAAAUUGGAAGAGAAGAAUGUAUCGGAUACCCAAUGGAGGAAAGUGUCGGCUGUGUUGUUUGAUAUGGAUGGUGUGCUCUGCAAUAGUGAGGAGUCAUCAAGAAAAGCGGCUGUGGAUGUUUUUGCUGAGAUGGGUGUUCAAGUUACCGUUGAAGACUUUGUGCCUUUCAUGGGCAUGGGUAAAUUCUUAUUCUUCUUGAAUUUCUUGAUUUAUUACAUUCUUUUUAUUUAUUUUCUUUUGAAUUUUGGUACUGGUUCUUGAACAAUUGAACCAACACCAACACCAACCGGUUCUUGAACAAUUGAACCAACACCAACUAGUUCUUGAUUUGUAUGUUUGGGAACUACUGACAAUUUUGGGUGUUUUUGUUGAAUUCACUAACUUCUUUAAGAAGCGGAGAAUGAAGUGUAAAGCAUCAGUCCAAUGGGCAAUUUUUUACGGUUCAAUGUUCUUCUUGAAUUUCUUGAUUAUUACAUUCUUUUUUAUUUUUUGUCUUUGAAUUUUUUGAAUUUUGUAUUCUUCUUGAGUACUCUCUUGGGAAUUUCUUGAUUAUUUGCGUACUUCGAAUUUUCGGGACAAAGGUUUCUUUGUCAAUCUGUUUAUAUGUAUUUGGAUUUUCCCUUCUUGAUUUUCUUUUAAUUGUUUAUAUUUAUUUGGAUUUUCCCUUCUUGAUUUUCUUUUAAUUGUUUAAUGUGAAAGAUGGGUAUGAAAGUAUCAUUGCUUCCCGCGGUGUACUAUUUCAGCGUACUGGUUCUUGAACUAUUGAACCAAUACCUACUAGUUCUUGAUUGAAAAGUAGUUUCUUGAUUUAUAGGUUUGGGAACCAUUGACAAUUUUGGGUGUUUUUGUUGACUUCGCUAGCUUCUUUGGAUAAUCAUGCCUUAAGAAGUCGAGGAUAAAGCGUAAAGCAUCAGUCCAAUGGGAUUUUUUUUUUACGGUUCAAUGUUAUUCUCAAAUUGCCUCAUUAUAUCUUUUAAGGCUUUACCUCAGCCAUUGGUCAUUCUGUUUAAAGGCUUGCUGAUGAAUUUGAUGAAGUAAUGAUUAAGACAGCUAAUGUAAUAUGGAAAAAAAGAAAAAAAAAAAUUUAUCAAGAAUCUCUGUGCAGUCCCCUCCAUGGGAACUUUGUUAUGUAAGAAACUAGUAAUCUUCAUCUACCUCAUUGAGUAUUUGAUUUUUGUGAAGCAUCAUCUCUUUCCCCUUAAAUAAUAGGUUUUGAUUCUGGUUGUAGAUCUUAUCAUUUGCUUACUUUCAUGCAUAUAGCUAGCCGAGGCCUUAGGUGAAUUCUUUCAUUCACUAUGUUAAAUUAGGACCCUUUUCCAUGAGAAACACUUGUGCUAAAAAAAUCAUCCAUAUUGUCUAUGAAACUUAUCUUUUGAUUGGAUCCAUACAUCGAUUAAAUUUUCUGAUCUCAAGUUACUCUUCUUUUCGACCCCAAGUAAUAAAAAAAAUUAGUUUGAUGUUACUAUCCUUUAGGAAAGGAGUCUUUGAUUGUGUAACACCUUGUUCCUUUGCCAUAUUUUCUCAAUGACUUUUUCUCCUUUUCAUUUUCCUUUACCCUCGAAAUAUAUUAGGUGAAGCAAACUUCUUAGGUGGUGUUGCUGCUGCUAAGGGUGUUGAAGGAUUUGAUACUGAGGCUGCCAAGAAGAGGUUUUUUGAGAUAUAUUUAUUAAAGGUGAUUGAAAUUUCAUAUAUUUCCCAGACCCCACCUAGUGGGAUUUCACUGGGUUGUUGUUGUUGUUGAAAUUUCAUAUAUUUACGAAUAUCUACUCUCAAAGCACUUUGAUUUCACUGGGUAUGUUGUUGAUGUAAAGCACUUUCCUUUAAGUCGUGGUAACUGACUCCAUAACUGACAAUUUUAUUGAUAAACUGAUAAUCAUUUGCAGUAUGCAAAACCGAAUUCUGGCAUAGGUUUCCCUGGUGCCUUUGAACUUGUCUCUCAGGUAUGUAUAACCUGUGAUGCGACAUGACUAUAUGUGGUCUUGCUCUUUCUGUUUUUGUUACUUUUCAUUAAUUUGGUGAUAUGGUACGCCAGUGUAAAAGCAGUGGUCUCAAAGUUGCUGUUGCAUCUAGUGCUGACCGGAUUAAAGUUGAUGCAAACUUGGCUGCAGCUGGUUUACCAAUAACGAUGUGAGUUAACAUAAUGCGCUUUAACUGUGAAUAGUUGCUUCUCAUUCCUUUUAUAAUUGGCAUUCAAGAAACACUGGAUUGUACUGAAUCAGACCAAGUUCAAAAAAAACAACAACACUGGAUUGUACUGAAUCAGACAUAGCAAGAACUUUAUCUACUUAAAUUAUCAGUAUAUUUUUUUUUUGAUGAAGUAAGAAGAAUGUCAUUAACAAAGCAUCAAGCAGAUGCACAGAUUACAAAAGAAAGAAAUAUCAGCUCCCAAAAAGGCAAAAAAAGCUAUCUAAACAGCUAACAGCAGAGAUCUAUGGAGCUGAUAAAUUCUAGGAAAGAAUCGACACUAAGUACAGGAGAGAGAUUAACCCAACCAAAAAGAGUAAUCAAACAUCUUGCUUUAAAGGUAGAGAUGGGAGUUGGGGUGCCAUCAAAACAUCUUUUGUUCCUCUCCGUCCAUAAGCACCACAAAAUACAGGCUGGAACCAAAGACCAGAUCUGCUUGACGGACUUCCCAACUUUCCAAGAACUCCAACACACAAAAGCCUCUCUCAAUGAUCUUGGCAUGACCCAAGUGAGUCCAAAAAGUGAGAAGAACAUGUUCCAUAGGCCUGUUGCAACUGUGCAAUGAAGGAACAAGUGAUUAAUAGAUUCUGAGUUGCACAAGCACAUGUAGCAUCUGUUGACUAUUUGGAAUUUCCUCCUCAUGAGAUUAUUCUGAGUCAAGCAAGAGUCUUUUAGAGUAAUCCAACUGAAACAAAUAACUUUAGGUGGCAACUUAGUUCUCCAGAUUAAUUUCCAUGGCCAUUGAUCAAUUACGGUCUUCUUGGAGCUUUGUUGAAGGUAGCAUGCUUUAACUGUAUAGAUAUGCUUUAUUUUAAAGAACUACCUGAUAUCUACUCCUGAGAUGCUUAGCUUUUUUGGUAUAACUUCUGCCGAGGAAAUUGCUGGACAUAAACAUUUUGUUGACAUAGUGAAUCUGUUAGUCAUGGAAUCAGGCGCUCAAACUCCAAAGGUUGUGAUCUUAUAUGGUCCUCGGCAAUCCUCCCCUUAUGAGCUAACUUUUGUUGUUGAGUUAGACCCACUGUCCAUUUCUUUACGCAGUAUCAAAGUCAAACCCCAUCGAUCCUUGUUGUUAUGUUUCUCUUUCUCAAUAUUGAUCCCCCGUGUUACGUUCUCUGUGAUUAGAUUUUCUAGACCUGGGCGUGUCCCGAGGGGGGGUCUCCUUAUAUGGUUUUGAGCAAUCCUCCCCUUAUAAGAACUUUUUGUGGUUGAGUUACAUUCAAGGUCCAUUUCUUCAUGGUAUAUAUGCAAACACACACACACUAUGCGUUGGUUGAUAAUGUAGUUUGCAAGGACAUAGUAGUUUAUUGAGGUUAAAGUGUACAACUCGGAUGAAAAACACAUGUUUGCAGUGAAAUAAUUGAAAGCUCCCUUCCUCCCUCGCCUUUGUCUUUAGUUAUCCUUCUAUUUAUAUUUGACCUCAUAUCCUUUUUCUUUGAUUUGACAGGUUUGAUGCAAUUGUAU